GUGGGAAACGAUGUGGGAAGGCUCAGACAGCCAGGAUGUUGGCUUAGAAGCAGCCAUCAUUUAAAGAAAGCGUAAUAGCUCACUGGUCGAGUCGGCCUGCGCGGAAGAUGUAACGGGGCUAAACCAUGCACCGAAGCUGCGGCAGCGACACUAUGUGUUGUUGGGUAGGGGAGCGUUCUGUAAGCCUGUGAAGGUGUAUCGUGAGGUAUGCUGGAGGUAUCAGAAGUGCGAAUGCUGACAUAAGUAACGAUAAAGCGGGUGAAAAGCCCGCUCGCCGGAAGACCAAGGGUUCCUGUCCAACGUUAAU
This 307-nucleotide ribosomal RNA is filed under the name Citrobacter amalonaticus. Its description in RNAcentral is "partial 23S ribosomal RNA". It matches the Rfam family "Bacterial large subunit ribosomal RNA", at positions 1063 to 1369 of the family's 2925-position model. RNAcentral also lists the same sequence under 1 other name. Lineage: Bacteria; Pseudomonadati; Pseudomonadota; Gammaproteobacteria; Enterobacterales; Enterobacteriaceae. The record is from RNAcentral.